RNAcentral lists this ribosomal RNA (465 nucleotides) under uncultured bacterium. RNAcentral describes it as "partial 16S ribosomal RNA". It matches the Rfam family "Bacterial small subunit ribosomal RNA", at positions 28 to 507 of the family's 1533-position model. The record is from RNAcentral.
GACGAACGCUGGCGGCGUGCUUAACACAUGCAAGUCGAACGGAAAGGCCCUGCUUGCCGGGUACUCGAGUGGCGAACGGGUGAGUAACACGUGGGUGAUCUGCCCUUCACUUCGGGAUAAGCCUGGGAAACUGGGUCUAAUACCGGAUAGGAGCCAUUUUUAGUGUGAUGGUUGGAAAGUUUUUUCGGUGUAGGAUGAGCUCGCGGCCUAUCAGCUUGUUGGUGGGGUAAUGGCCUACCAAGGCGGCGACGGGUAGCCGGCCUGAGAGGGUGGACGGCCACAUUGGGACUGAGAUACGGCCCAGACUCCUACGGGAGGCAGCAGUGGGGAAUAUUGCACAAUGGGCGCAAGCCUGAUGCAGCGACGCCGCGUGGGGGAUGACGGCCUUCGGGUUGUAAACUCCUUUCGCUAGGGACGAAGCUUUUUGUGACGGUACCUAGAUAAGAAGCACCGGCUAACUACGUG